CUGUUCAGAUUAGCCAUGCAUGUCUCAGUAUAAGCUUCUAUACGGCGAAACUGCGAAUGGCUCAUUAAAACAGUUAUAGUUUAUUUGGUGGUCAGCAAUUACAUGGAUAACCGUGGUAAUUCUAGAGCUAAUACAUGCGCCCAAACCCGACUUCGUGGAAGGGUUGUGUUUAUUAGAUACAGAACCAACCCAGGCUCCGCCUGGCCUUGAGGUGAUUCAUAAUAACCGAACGAAUCGCAUGGCUAUGCCGGCGAUAGACCAUUCAAGUUUCUGACCUAUCAGCUAUCGUCGGUAGGGUAUUGGCCUACCGUGGCAAUGACGGGUAACGGAGAAUUAGGGUUCGAUUCCGGAGAGGGAGCCUGAGAAACGGCUACCACAUCUAAGGAAGGCAGCAGGCGCGCAAAUUACCCAAUCCUGACGCAGGGAGGUAGUGACAAGAAAUAACAAUACAGGGCAUACAUGUCUUGUAAUUGGAAUGAGUAAACUUUAAAUCACUUUAC
This 500-nucleotide ribosomal RNA is filed under the name uncultured dinoflagellate. RNAcentral describes it as "SSU rRNA". It matches the Rfam family "Eukaryotic small subunit ribosomal RNA", at positions 36 to 538 of the family's 1831-position model. The record is from RNAcentral. Lineage: Eukaryota; Dinophyceae.